CGUUGUUUGUCUCCUUAGGCCCAGUGAGAACUAUGGACAAAGAGGAGAAUUUUCACUUUGUGACACUACUGCCUCACAGAUACAAUCAGGGACACCCAUAACGGCAACGUCGGUAAUUGUAAACUUUCUCUUCAAAGCUCGAGCGGAGGAACGUGUCCUAUAGAUGGAAGCCUCACGUUAUGGUAGCAGUGCUUUGCUUCGUUAUGUUCCAGCUAAAGUAUUCAAUAAACUUCAUCGAAACCAUUAGAAUUUAUGUAUUUUGUUGUUGUUGAUAUGUAAAUGUCAACAGAAAAAUAAUCCCGGAUGAAAAAUGACGCGGUAAUGUAAUAACAAUGGACAUACUUUUUGGCUCUUUCUAUUGAAUAUGACCGGUCUGUUGAUAUACAUUCGAACAUAUAUACACAACAUGGAUAUGUCCCUUAUAUCUAAGCUGUGGUCGGCUCUAUCGUAAUUCAUUCAGAAACGUUUUAAGCCAAUCAAUUCCUCUGUGUUUCGAGUUGUACCUCCGGUAUAGCUGCUAGGCGCUGCAUCAGACGGCUGACUCCCAGCACAAAACGAACUAACUGUGUGUACACGCCCGGACCCGAGUCCAGACUACAUGUUCCUAAGAUUAACAGGCAGAUACGUUAACCACUAAGCUAUCAAGGGAACCACCACUUUCUAACGGGCACUUUUCCUACCUGCCUGCUGCUGGUCCUGUCUUCAUAACCUAAAGUUCGAUUUACCUAUUACAGGGAUAAUUGAAUUUAGCAGAGGUGGGAGCUUUUUAGAAAGUUUUCAGAACUUCUUUAGAUUGGUCGAUAGCUAAACACGUGUCUAUCUCGCGGGCGGCUAAUCGUGACUACAGCCGCUAUGUCGACGCAUCUGAACAUUCUUCGCCGGCAGUGAGAAGUUGAUUGGAUUUUUUGGUAAAGAACCCCACAAGCUUCCUUCUCUUUUUAUUUAUCUGUUACUACCAUCUGCUAUGAAUCUGGCUGCACCGCAAUAAUCAAUAGUUGCAGUCCAAGCGAUACUUCUUACCGGUGACUCCGCUAACAAACUGUCAUGAGUACAAGCGCAUGUGUUUGUAGCAUUAGAUGCAUGUAUAAGCUAUAUGCGUAGAUAACUUAACAGUAUUAUUAUCAGUGAAUUGCGAUGAUAAGGGGAACCAGAUACUGGCUAGAACGAGAGGUACCGACGGCAAAUUAACAGCAAUCAAUGCCGUGCUGUAAAUCAGCGCAUUAGACUCAUCACCGGCAGGUGAUUAUUCCGAUUCGAAUUGCUUCUGCAAGAAGGUUAAUUGGUGGCUUCCUAAGCGGGAACAAUGAGAUCUUGCCUACUAAAUUACAAAGCUUGUCAAGCUGAAUUGUCAAAGGGAAAAAGUAUAUAAGAUAGCGGCAUAUGCUUUGUGGACAUGAAAGAGUAACGGAGAAGUGCACAAUUUGGACAGUAGCGAGCAAACGUAAGCGAGCGAGACGUAAAGAUUGACUAUGAUUUUCGAGAGCGGCGCUUUUCCGAUGACUGCACUCUCCUUCGCAGUCGUUGCAAUCGCAGGCGUUGAUAUCGCUGCAGCCGCAGC
Molecule: long non-coding RNA, 1558 nt
Filed under: Varroa destructor (honeybee mite)
Lineage: Eukaryota; Metazoa; Arthropoda; Arachnida; Mesostigmata; Varroidae
Description: uncharacterized LOC111245209
Source: RNAcentral